AAAGGGUGGAACUGAAUAGAGAUGAAAAACUGAAGCAUCAGGAAGAGACAGAAGAAGUUCUGGAGGAGACACACGAAGCAGAGAGACAUGAGAAGAAGAUGUGCUUGCUUCUAGGCCUUGUUUUUGUACCAGUGACUUGAGGUCAUGGAAGGAAACACUUGAAAGAGACAGAGACAUGUAGUUAUAAAUGCAGCAAUGAUGGUCAAAGAUCUUCUCAGACUUGAAUGUAGUGUUGUAUUUGGAGCGCAAGCAAUAUAUGAGUAUGUGAGCUACAGAGUUUGCUGGACAUGAACAGAAGCAAGCACACAGCAGCAAGGAAAUGCAAGCCUCAGUCUAUUCAUGAAAAGGAGUAUCAGACAGACCCCAAUGGAGUGCACUUGAAAAGUACCUGACCUGCACCCCUCAACACGUACAAUCAUGAAAAGCAGAAGUAUGAGAAAUCAUCACAGUGAAGAGGCGCCUAAGGAGACACAACAACUCUGGAAUUCUAUUUAGAUCCAUGAUUUGUGUUUGAUGUGGUUUCAAAUAAUCAUCACUGCGGUCCAGCCACAUUUAUGAAAAGGUGGUUAUUCCAAUGCCAAGGGAAACAUGAGUUAACUAUGAGACAUAUAUUGGACAAAAAUCCCACUGAAAGAUUCGGAUGCAACAAGAGAUGAAU
Molecule: long non-coding RNA, 658 nt
Organism: Talpa occidentalis (Iberian mole)
Lineage: Eukaryota; Metazoa; Chordata; Mammalia; Eulipotyphla; Talpidae
Exons: 5
Source: RefSeq, a predicted model, not a curated record